CCUACGGGAGGCAGCAGUGGGGAAUAUUGGACAAUGGGGGGAACCCUGAUCCAGCGACGCCGCGUGAGUGAAGAAGUAUUUCGGUAUGUAAAGCUCUAUCAGCAGGGAAGAAAGAAAUGACGGUACCUGACUAAGAAGCCCCGGCUAACUACGUGCAAGCAGCCGCGGAAAUACGUAGGGGGCAAGCGUUAUCCGGAUUUACUGGGUUAAAAGGGUGCGCAGGCGGUCUGUUAAGUAAGCGGUCAAAGCCCGGGGCUCAACCCCGGCCCGCCGUUGAAACUGGCAGUCUCGAGUUGGAGAGAAGUAUGCGGAAUGCGCGGUGUAGCGGUGAAAUGCAUAGAUAUCGCGCAGAACUCCGAUUGCGAAGGCAGCAUGCCGGCUCCACACUGACGCUGAGGCACGAAAGCGUGGGUAUCGAACAGGAUUAGAUACCCCGGUAGUC
RNAcentral lists this ribosomal RNA (442 nucleotides) under uncultured bacterium. Its description in RNAcentral is "partial 16S ribosomal RNA". It matches the Rfam family "Bacterial small subunit ribosomal RNA", at positions 338 to 795 of the family's 1533-position model. The record is from RNAcentral.